Molecule: ribosomal RNA, 248 nt
Filed under: uncultured bacterium
Lineage: Bacteria
Description: partial 16S ribosomal RNA
Rfam family: Bacterial small subunit ribosomal RNA
Source: RNAcentral
GCAAGUCGAGCGAUUAAAGCUCCUUCGGGAGUAUAUAAAGCGGCGGACGGGUGAGUAAGGCAUAGAUGAUCUGCCCAGAAGAGGGGGAUAGCUCGGGGAAACUUGGGUUAAUACCGCGUAAGCUGAUUCGGUGAAUACGAAUUAGUAAAGGCUUCGGCCGCUUUUGGAUGAGUCUAUGUAUGAUUAGCUAGUUGGAGAGGUAACGGCUCACCAAGGCGACGAUCCCUAGCUGGUCUGAGAGGAUGAUC